CCUACGGGUGGCAGCAGUGAGGAAUAUUGGUCAAUGGGCGCGAGCCUGAACCAGCCAAGUAGCGUGAAGGAUGACUGCCCUACGGGUUGUAAACUUCUUUUAUCAAGGAGUAAAGUGAGGCCCGUGUGCCUUUUUGUAUGUCCUUUAUGAAUAAGGAUCGGCUAAAUCCGUGCCAGCAGCCGCGGUAAUACGGAGGAUCCGAGCGUUAUCCGGAUUUUUUGGGUUUAAAGGGAGCCUAGAUGGGUUGUUAAGUAAGUGGUGAAAGUGUGCGGCUCAACCGUAAAAUUGCAAUUGAUACUGGCAGUCUUGAGUACAGUUGAGGUAGGCGGAAUUCGUGGUGUAGCGGUGAAAUGCUUAGAUAUCACGAAGAACUCCGAUUGCGAAGGCAGCUUACUAAACUGCCACUGACAUUGAUGCUCGAAAGUGUGGGUAUCAAACAGGAUUAGAUACCCCUGUAGUC
Molecule: ribosomal RNA, 460 nt
Filed under: uncultured bacterium
Lineage: Bacteria
Description: partial 16S ribosomal RNA
Rfam family: Bacterial small subunit ribosomal RNA
Source: RNAcentral